AUGCUUAGUCCUGACCUGCCUGACUCUGCCUGGAACACCAGGCUCCUCUGCCGUGUCAUGCUUUGUCUCCUGGGAGCAGGUUCAGUGGCUGCUGGAGUCAUCCAGUCCCCAAGACAUCUGAUCAAAGAAAAGAGGGAAACAGCCACUCUGAAAUGCUAUCCUAUCCCUAGACACGACACUGUCUACUGGUACCAGCAGGGUCCAGGUCAGGACCCCCAGUUCCUCAUUUCGUUUUAUGAAAAGAUGCAGAGCGAUAAAGGAAGCAUCCCUGAUCGAUUCUCAGCUCAACAGUUCAGUGACUAUCAUUCUGAACUGAACAUGAGCUCCUUGGAGCUGGGGGACUCAGCCCUGUACUUCUGUGCCAGCAGCUUAGG
Non-coding RNA from Homo sapiens (human), 374 nucleotides. Lineage: Eukaryota; Metazoa; Chordata; Mammalia; Primates; Hominidae. The record is from the annotation of a RefSeq genome assembly.